This is a long non-coding RNA of Xiphophorus couchianus (Monterrey platyfish), 746 nucleotides long. RefSeq lists it as uncharacterized. The transcript is spliced from 3 exons. NCBI's taxonomy places the organism in Eukaryota, Metazoa, Chordata, Actinopteri, Cyprinodontiformes, Poeciliidae. The record is from RefSeq and is a predicted model, not a curated record.
UUGAAUGAGCAGCUGCCCGUCUCACGAUGUUGACCAAUUGGGGAAAACUAAGGCACAGUAAUGUAACCUAUCAGGUUAGGGGGAGGGACCUUUAUUAGGCAGGUUGAUGAGAAGAAGGCAAUACUGUACUUGAAAAAGAUAUGGGGUGUAAUGGCGGCGCUUCACGGAAGAUUCUUGGAUGAAACAUGGACGCUGUUCCGUUAGCUUCUCUGUUCUGGAAGCCUUGUGCUCAUAAUGGCCAAAUGUUUCUGCAUUGAAUUCUUGAUAGGCUUUGAUGGGCUGCCAAGUACCGCUGCACCAGAAGCCUGGUAGACUUCACUCAUUGCAUGAGGUUCAUCUCCAUCCCACGUGCAGACAACGGAAAGCCGGAAACUUCAUUGGUUUGGACAGAAGAGGGUUUGCGUCGGAUCAUCUAGGAUGACUGUGGGCUUUUAAGGUAACUGAGACUACACAUUAGGAAAACCACACCUAUGAGCUCCAACAAGUGCACCAAUAAAGUAUUACAAUCAAGUAGUCAUAAAGGACUAAAAAUUCCGGAUAUUUCUGUUUAACAGUAAGUGGUAUGAUUGGGCAAUAUAUGUCUUUUUUUCUAUGAUCAUAAAUAUCGUUAUUCUCAUGAGUUUAAAAUUCAGGUUUGAUUGAUUUUAAAUCAAGGCUGCAAGUUAUCGGUUACCCUUUGAUUUUAUUGCAUUUAUGGGAGGUUGUCGUCUCUGUAAAUAUUGACUAGCUAAACUAUUCUAAGCAUC